UAGGGAAUCUUCGGCAAUGGACGAAAGUCUGACCGAGCAACGCCGCGUGAGUGAAGAAGGUUUUCGGAUCGUAAAACUCUGUUGAUAGAGAAGAACAAGGGUGAGAGUAACUGUUCACCCCUUGACGGUAUCUAACCAGAAAGCCACGGCUAACUACGUGCCAG
This 164-nucleotide ribosomal RNA is filed under the name uncultured bacterium. RNAcentral's name for it is "partial 16S ribosomal RNA". It matches the Rfam family "Bacterial small subunit ribosomal RNA", at positions 355 to 511 of the family's 1533-position model. The record is from RNAcentral.